AGUGAACGCUGGCGGUAGGCCUAACACAUGCAAGUCGAACGGCAACACAGUAAGAUCGUGCUCUUACGGUUGGCGAGUGGCGGACGGGUGAGGAAUACAUCGGAAUCUACUUUUUCGGGGGGGAUAACGUAGGGAAACAUACGCUAAUACCUCAUACGACCUACGGGUGAAAGCAGGGGAUCUUCGCACCUUGCGCGAUUGUAUUAGCCGAUGUCGGAUUAGCUAGUUGGCGGGGUAAAGGCCCACCAAGGCGACGAUCCGUAGCUGGUCUGAGAGGAUGAUCAGCCACACUGGAACUGAGACACGGUCCAGACUCCUACGGGAGGCAGCAGUGGGGAAUCUUGCGCAAUGGGCGCAAGCCUGAUCCAGCAAUACCGCGUGGGUGAAGAAGGCCUUCGGGUUGUAAAGCCCUUUUGUUAGGAAAGAACAACAGCAGGUUAAUCCCCCGCUGUCCUGACGGUACCCAAACAAUAAGCACCGGCUAACUUCGUG
This 492-nucleotide ribosomal RNA is filed under the name uncultured bacterium. RNAcentral's name for it is "partial 16S ribosomal RNA". It matches the Rfam family "Bacterial small subunit ribosomal RNA", at positions 29 to 507 of the family's 1533-position model. The record is from RNAcentral.